CUACGGGGGGCUCCAGUGAGGAAUAUUGCACAAUGGGGGGAACCCUGAUGCAGCAACGCCGCGUGGAGGAUGACGCAUUUCGGUGUGUAAACUCCUUUUAUAUGUCAAGAAAAUGACGGUAGCAUAUGAAUAAGCACCGGCUAACUCCGUGCCAGCAGCCGCGGUAAUACGGAGGGUGCAAGCGUUACUCGGAAUCACUGGGCGUAAAGGACGCGUAGGCGGGUUGGAAAGUCAGGUGUGAAAUCCUACAGCUUAACUGUAGAACUGCACUGGAAACUUCUAAUCUAGAGUGUGGGAGGGGGAGAUGGAAUUCGUGGUGUAGGGGUAAGAUCCGUAGAUAUCACUAGGAAUACCUAAAGCGAAGGCGAUCUCCUGGAACAUUACUGACGCUAAGGCGUGAAAGCGUGGGGAGCAAACAGGAUUAGAUACCCGCGUAGUC
Molecule: ribosomal RNA, 439 nt
Filed under: uncultured bacterium
Lineage: Bacteria
Description: partial 16S ribosomal RNA
Rfam family: Bacterial small subunit ribosomal RNA
Source: RNAcentral